AGUGAACGCUGGCGGUAGGCCUAACACAUGCAGGUCGAACGGCAGCACAGUAAGAGCUUGCUCUUACGGGUGGCGAGUGGCGGACGGGUGAGGAAUACAUCGGAAUCUACUUUUUCGUGGGGGAUAACGUAGGGAAACUUACGCUAAUACCGCAUACGACCUACGGGUGAAAGCAGGGGAUCUUCGGACCUUGCGCGAUUGAAUGAGCCGAUGUCGGAUUAGCUAGUUGGCGGGGUAAAGGCCCACCAAGGCGACGAUCCGUAGCUGGUCUGAGAGGAUGAUCAGCCACACUAGAACUGAGACACGGUCCAGACUCCUACGGGAGGCAGCAGUGGGGAAUAUUGGACAAUGGGCGCAAGCCUGAUCCAGCCAUACCGCGUGGGUGAAGAAGGCCUUCGGGUUGUAAAGCCCUUUUGUUGGGAAAGAAAAGCAGCAGGUUAAUACCCCGCUGUUCUGACGGUACCCAAAGAAUAAGCACCGGCUAACUUCGUG
This 492-nucleotide ribosomal RNA is filed under the name uncultured bacterium. RNAcentral's name for it is "partial 16S ribosomal RNA". It matches the Rfam family "Bacterial small subunit ribosomal RNA", at positions 29 to 507 of the family's 1533-position model. The record is from RNAcentral.